RNAcentral lists this ribosomal RNA (420 nucleotides) under bacterium. RNAcentral describes it as "partial 16S ribosomal RNA". It matches the Rfam family "Bacterial small subunit ribosomal RNA", at positions 355 to 776 of the family's 1533-position model. The record is from RNAcentral.
UGGGGGAUAUUGCACAAUGGGCGAAAGCCUGAUGCAGCGACGCCGCGUGGGGGAUGAAGGCUUUCGGGUUGUAAACCUCUUUCGCUAUCGAACAAGGCCCGCUUAGGGUGGGUUGAGGGUAGGUGGAGAAGAAGCGCCGGCUAACUACGUGCCAGCAGCCGCGGUAAUACGUAGGGCGCGAGCGUUGUCUGGAAUUAUUGGGCGUAAAGGGCUUGUAGGCGGCUUGUUGCGCCUGCUGUGAAAACGCGGGGCUUAACUUCGCGCGUGCAGUGGGUACGGGCAGGCUUGAGUGUGGUAGGGGUGACUGGAAUUCCAGGUGUAGCGGUGGAAUGCGCAGAUAUCUGGAGGAACACCGAUGGCGAAGGCAGGUCACUGGGCCAUUACUGACGCUGAGGAGCGAAAGCAUGGGUAGCGAACAGG